Molecule: long non-coding RNA, 240 nt
Filed under: Lathyrus oleraceus (garden pea)
Lineage: Eukaryota; Viridiplantae; Streptophyta; Magnoliopsida; Fabales; Fabaceae
Description: Pisum sativum (pea) long non-coding RNA (PSAT_LNC026399)
Source: RNAcentral
AUAAAGCGAGUGCGAGAAAUAAAUAAAAUAAAAGCGAUGUGGGAAACAAAUAAAAUAAAAGCGAUGUGGGAAAUAAAUAAAAUAAAAACGAUGCGGGAAAUAAAUAAAUAAAGCGAAAAAUAAGAACCUGCUCCAAAUGGAGGCUUCGAUUCUGGUACAAAAAUAAACCUCUGACUCCUGAAGCUAAAGACGACAGCAACUCGAAGUGACCCAACUCAAUCUCACAAAGGUGCGAUAACC